RNAcentral lists this transfer RNA (64 nucleotides) under Camarochiloides weiweii. RNAcentral's name for it is "tRNA-Tyr". Lineage: Eukaryota; Metazoa; Arthropoda; Insecta; Hemiptera; Pachynomidae. The record is from RNAcentral.
GAUAGGGUGGCUGAAGUUUAGGCGGUAAAUUGUAAAUUUACUUAUGGUAAUUAACCCCCUUUCA